AGAGCAUUCAUGAACCUUCUUCUUUCUUUUUUCAAAAAACUAAUUUUUUUAAAAAAACUAAACCCUUAUCAGCUUUAGACAUUAAAAAUAAAUAAAUAAAAAACCUUACUAACGUCUCCCAUUUUCCCAGCCGCACACAAUUAUCUCUCUCUGUUUUUUUCUCCAUAUCUUCUUUCUACCUCUUUACCCAUGGCCGCUCUCUCAGCUUCUUCUUCCUCUUAUCAUCUUUGCCCAUAUACUGAUUUCAUCAAAAUCCAACAAUGUGUAACCGAAGCUUCUGUAUUCGGUCCCUCGAUCGAUUCAUCUAGAUGUCACAUAGAAGCCAUGAAUCAAAAAGAGAGUCCGACGGUCUUCCCUCCUUCUCAGAACCGAAGCAAGGGCUACCUCGUCAAUUUUAGGUUUUGGCCAAUUGUGGAUUGAUUAAAGCAAGAUUCUCUGUAGUCUGAAUAAAAGAAAAAGCUUUCACAGAAGCAUUGCUGCCUUGACUCAACCUCAGAAUGAAUGGAGUAUACCAUUUGAGCUUGAGGUUAGUAACCAGAGCUAUUAUGUUAACUCCCAACAGGAUGUUAAAUGAUAGUCAGUUGUUUAUAGCACUUGUUUAUCAAUGAUCUGAAUGUGUUUCUUGGGUUGAUUAGGUGUUAUCUGGGAAAAGAAGAGAUGGUGAAAUUUAGAGCAACAUGGGUUAUAUCAAGAAGAAACUCGUACUUAGUUCAGGUGAUGUUGUGCUGUAAAAGAAAAUGUAUAUGUUUGUGGUAUAAGACAAUUGUGUAUUCAUUUUGAAUACUUUUGACUGUUGUAUAAAAAAUAAUGUAUUCAUCUGUGA
Molecule: long non-coding RNA, 823 nt
Organism: Rosa chinensis
Lineage: Eukaryota; Viridiplantae; Streptophyta; Magnoliopsida; Rosales; Rosaceae
Exons: 3
Source: RefSeq, a predicted model, not a curated record